RNAcentral lists this transfer RNA (68 nucleotides) under Cucujoidea sp. 17 KM-2017. Its description in RNAcentral is "tRNA-Trp". Lineage: Eukaryota; Metazoa; Arthropoda; Insecta; Coleoptera. The record is from RNAcentral.
AAGGAUUUAAGUUAAUUAAAACUAGUAGCCUUCAAAGUUUCAAAUAGAAAAAUUUCUUCUAAGCCUUA